Long non-coding RNA from Mobula hypostoma (lesser devil ray), 396 nucleotides. RefSeq lists it as uncharacterized. The transcript has 3 exons. NCBI's taxonomy places the organism in Eukaryota, Metazoa, Chordata, Chondrichthyes, Myliobatiformes, Myliobatidae. The record is from RefSeq and is a predicted model, not a curated record.
AUAUGGAAGAUUAAGAAUGUUCUGAUGUUUGGCUCUGGAGUCCAAGGCUGAAGCUGUUAACACUACUUUUCCUGCUGUCUUUAUGGUAUCAGGAGCCAUCCAACAAAAUCUUCUUAUAAGUUCCUGCUCCAAUCUCUACAUUGAUAUCGUUAUUGGACAUCUACAGUCUUGUUAAGGAUGUCAGAAGAAACCAGAGUACCAGGAAGAAACCCAUGCAGACACAGUGAAAGUGCAAACUUCACCCAGACAGCACUGGACGUCAGGAUUGAAUCUGGGUUUUUGGAACUGUGAGUUCGUUUUUUUACAGUGGAAUGAAGAAGUACAUUAGAAUCAAUGAAAAACUACACACAAAGACUGACAAACAAGCAAUGCGCAAAAGAAGACAAACUGUGCAAA